Molecule: ribosomal RNA, 587 nt
Filed under: Sarocladium strictum
Lineage: Eukaryota; Fungi; Ascomycota; Sordariomycetes; Hypocreales; Sarocladiaceae
Description: eukaryotic LSU rRNA
Rfam family: 5.8S ribosomal RNA (bases 198-351)
Source: RNAcentral
UCCGUAGGUGAACCUGCGGAAGGGAUCAUUACCAGAGUGCCCUAGGCUCUCCAACCCAUUGUGAACUUACCAAACGUUCCCUCGGCGGGCUCAGCGCGCGGUGGCCUCCGGGCCUCCGGGCGUCCGCCGGGGAAAACCAAACCCUGAUUUAAUCGUAUUUCUCUGAGGGGCGAAAGCCCGAAAACAAAAUGAAUCAAAACUUUCAACAACGGAUCUCUUGGCUCUGGCAUCGAUGAAGAACGCAGCGAAAUGCGAUAAGUAAUGUGAAUUGCAGAAUUCAGUGAAUCAUCGAAUCUUUGAACGCACAUUGCGCCCGCCGGCACUCCGGCGGGCAUGCCUGUCCGAGCGUCAUUUCAACCCUCAGGCCCACCCUUCCGGGGGAGCGGGCCUGGUUCUGGGGAUCGGCGGCCCUCGCGGCCCCCGUCCCUCAAAUUCAGUGGCGGUCGCGCCGCAGCCUCCCCUGCGUAGUAGCACAACCUCGCACCGGAGAGCGGAACGACCACGCCGUAAAACACCCAAUUUUUUAAGGUUGACCUCGGAUCAGGUAGGAAUACCCGCUGAACUUAAGCAUAUCAAUAAGCGGAGGA